This 497-nucleotide ribosomal RNA is filed under the name uncultured bacterium. RNAcentral's name for it is "partial 16S ribosomal RNA". It matches the Rfam family "Bacterial small subunit ribosomal RNA", at positions 28 to 507 of the family's 1533-position model. The record is from RNAcentral.
GAUGAACGCUGGCGGCGUGCCUAAUACAUGCAAGUCGAGCGAACAGAUGAGGAGCUUGCUCCUCUGACGUUAGCGGCGGACGGGUGAGUAACACGUGGAUAACCUACCUAUAAGACUGGGAUAACUUCGGGAAACCGGAGCUAAUACCGGAUAAUAUAUUGAACCGCAUGGUUCAAUAGUGAAAGACGGUUUUGCUGUCACUUAUAGAUGGAUCCGCGCCGCAUUAGCUAGUUGUUAAGGUAACGGCUUACCAAGGCAACGAUGCGUAGCCGACCUGAGAGGGUGAUCGGCCACACUGGAACUGAGACACGGUCCAGACUCCUACGGGAGGCAGCCGUAGGGAAUCUUCCGCAAUGGGCGAAAGCCUGACGGAGCAACGCCGAGUGAGUGAUGAAGGUCUUCGGAUCGUAAAACUCUGUUAUUAGGGAAGAACAAAUGUGUAAGUAACUAUGCACGUCUUGACGGUACCUAAUCAGAAAGCCACGGCUAACUACGUG